CAUAAUCAUUAAAUAUUUGCUUAUCUUUAGUAAUCAAAUAAUCAUAAACUAAAAAUACAGUCCUAGGUAAUCAAAUAAUCAAGAAAUAUUUGGCUUAAUAAUCAAAUAAUCAUUAAAAAAACGGCCAAGUAAUCACAUAAUCAAAAACCCCAUGAGGGCCCUCACUGCUGGUGAACUGUGAUAAAAAAUGUCAAUUUCCUACAAUGACAAAAGAAAUUACAUUGUGUACAUUCCGUCUCUAUACAUGUCUGUUCAACGUCCCGACCUAAAGAGAAAUAAAAAGACUAAGUUUUCGUUAUUAUAAACCCAAGUCACGUGAUGUCUCCCCAAUCUGGCGCGCGCGCUGGCCUGAAAUAAAAUAAAAACUUUCCGAACUAAACAUGAAACUUCCCCGGAAUAAUAUAGACCCCUUACAAAAACAAAACAAACAAACAAAAAACAAC
RNAcentral lists this long non-coding RNA (443 nucleotides) under Mytilus galloprovincialis (Mediterranean mussel). Lineage: Eukaryota; Metazoa; Mollusca; Bivalvia; Mytilida; Mytilidae. The record is from RNAcentral.